AAGUGUUUUAUCCNUUUCGGCUAAAAUCAAGUGUUGUAUCUGUUCUUAUCAGUUUAAUAUCUGAAACGUCCUCAAUCCAAGGACAGUAUACUACAUGGAUGUUUGGAACAAGGAGAUGGAAUCGGAGCUUGUUCCGUCCACACCACCCAUCGACCUGCUACUGCGUUACUUCUAGGAAUGGUGCACCCUCC
This is a small nuclear RNA of Ailuropoda melanoleuca (giant panda), 191 nucleotides long. Its record names the gene U2. It matches the Rfam family "U2 spliceosomal RNA". From Rfam's summary of the family: U2 is a small nuclear RNA (snRNA) component of the spliceosome (involved in pre-mRNA splicing). The record is from Ensembl. Lineage: Eukaryota; Metazoa; Chordata; Mammalia; Carnivora; Ursidae.